GACGAACGCUGGCGGCGUGCUUAACACAUGCAAGUCGAACGGAAAGGCCCCCUUGUGGGGUACUCGAGUGGCGAACGGGUGAGUAACACGUGAGUAACCUACCCUUGACUUUGGGAUAACUUCAGGAAACUGGGGCUAAUACCGGAUAGGAGCUCCUGCUGCAUGGUGGGGGUUGGAAAGUUUCGGCGGUUGGGGAUGGACUCGCGGCUUAUCAGCUUGUUGGUGGGGUAGUGGCUCACCAAGGCUUUGACGGGUAGCCGGCCUGAGAGGGUGACCGGCCACAUUGGGACUGAGAUACGGCCCAGACUCCUACGGGAGGCAGCAGUGGGGAAUAUUGCACAAUGGGCGGAAGCCUGAUGCAGCAACGCCGCGUGCGGGAUGGCGGCCUUCGGGUUGUAAACCGCUUUCGCCUGUGACGAAGCGUGAGUGACGGUAAUGGGUAAAGAAGCACCGGCUAACUACGUG
This 465-nucleotide ribosomal RNA is filed under the name uncultured bacterium. RNAcentral's name for it is "partial 16S ribosomal RNA". It matches the Rfam family "Bacterial small subunit ribosomal RNA", at positions 28 to 507 of the family's 1533-position model. The record is from RNAcentral.